This 301-nucleotide ribosomal RNA is filed under the name uncultured bacterium. RNAcentral's name for it is "partial 16S ribosomal RNA". It matches the Rfam family "Bacterial small subunit ribosomal RNA", at positions 509 to 807 of the family's 1533-position model. The record is from RNAcentral.
CAGUCGCCGCGGGAAUACGUAGGGUGCGAGCGUUAAUCGGAAUUACUGGGCGUAAAGCAUGCGCAGGCGGUUGUGUAAGACAGGUGUGAAAUCCCCGGGCUUAACCUGGGAACUGCGCUUGUGACUGCACAGCUAGAGUAUGGCAGAGGGGGGUGGAAUUCCACGUGUAGCAGUGAAAUGCGUAGAGAUGUGGAGGAACACCGACGGCGAAGGCAGCCCCCUGGGCCAAUACUGACGCUCAUGCACGAAAGCGUGGGGAGCAAACAGGAUUAGAUACCCCGGUAGUCCCUGUCUCUUAUAC